CGCUGGCGGCAUGCUAACACAUGCAAGUCGAACGAGACUUCGGGUCUAGUGGCGCACGGGUGCGUAACGCGUGGGAAUCUGCCCUUGGGUUCGGGAUAACAGUUGGAAACGACUGCUAAUACCGGAUGAUGACUUCGGUCCAAAGAUUUAUCGCCCAGGGAUGAGCCCGCGUAGGAUUAGCUAGUUGGUGAGGUAAAGGCUCACCAAGGCGACGAUCCUUAGCUGGUCUGAGAGGAUGAUCAGCCACACUGGGACUGAGACACGGCCCAGACUCCUACGGGAGGCAGCAGUGGGGAAUAUUGGACAAUGGGCGAAAGCCUGAUCCAGCAAUGCCGCGUGAGUGAUGAAGGCCUUAGGGUUGUAAAGCUCUUUUACCCGGGAUGAUAAUGACAGUACCGGGAGAAUAAGCCCCGGCUAACUCCGUGCCAGCAGCCGCGGUAAUACGAACCGUCCAAACGUUAUUCGGAAUUACUGGGCUUAAAGGGUUCGUAGGCGGCCUUGUAAGUGGGGUGUGAAAUCCCUCGGCUCAACCGAGGAAUAGCACUCCAAACUGAAGGCUUGAGGGAGACAGGGGUAAGCGGAACUGAUGGUGGAGCGGUGAAAUGCGUAGAUAUCGAGAGGAACACCUGCGGGAAGGCGGGUUGCUGGGCCGACAACUGACGGCUGAUGCGCGAAAGCCAGGGGAGCGAACGGGAUUAGAUACCCCGGUA
Molecule: ribosomal RNA, 710 nt
Filed under: uncultured bacterium
Lineage: Bacteria
Description: bacterial SSU rRNA
Rfam family: Bacterial small subunit ribosomal RNA
Source: RNAcentral